This 142-nucleotide ribosomal RNA is filed under the name Pseudomonas sp. ICMP 460. Its description in RNAcentral is "partial 16S ribosomal RNA". The stretch from base 41 to 142 matches the Rfam family "Bacterial small subunit ribosomal RNA", at positions 1 to 101 of the family's 1533-position model. Lineage: Bacteria; Pseudomonadati; Pseudomonadota; Gammaproteobacteria; Pseudomonadales; Pseudomonadaceae. The record is from RNAcentral.
UGAGCCAGGUUUAGGGUUUCUUAAAAACCCAAAGAUGUUUGAACUGAAGAGUUUGAUCAUGGCUCAGAUUGAACGCUGGCGGCAGGCCUAACACAUGCAAGUCGAGCGGUAGAGAGAAGCUUGCUUCUCUUGAGAGCGGCGG